GAUGAACGCUGACAGAAUGCUUAACACAUGCAAGUCAACUUGAACUUCGGUUUGGGUGGCGGACGGGUGAGUAACGCGUAAAGAACUUGCCUGACAGUUAGGGACAACAUACGGAAACGAAUGCUAAUACCUGAUAUUCUGAUUCUAGGGCAUCCUAGGAUUAUGAAAGCUAUAUGCGCUGUGUGAGAGCUUUGCGUCCCAUUGGCUAGUUGGAGAGGUAACGGCUAACCAGGGCGAUGAUGGUUAGCCGCCCGGGGAGGGUGAUCGGCCACAAGGGGACUGAGACACGGCCCUUACCCCUACGGGAGGCAGCGGGGGGGAAUAUUGGACAAGGGACCAAGAGUCUGAUACAGCAAUUCUGUGUGCACGAUGAAGUUUUUCGGAAUGUAAAGUGUUUUCAGUUGGGGAGAAAAAAAUGACGGUACCGACAGAAGAAGUGACGGCUAAAUACGUG
RNAcentral lists this ribosomal RNA (454 nucleotides) under uncultured bacterium. Its description in RNAcentral is "partial 16S ribosomal RNA". It matches the Rfam family "Bacterial small subunit ribosomal RNA", at positions 28 to 507 of the family's 1533-position model. The record is from RNAcentral.